RNAcentral lists this transfer RNA (73 nucleotides) under Ixodes scapularis (black-legged tick). RNAcentral's name for it is "tRNA-Ser for anticodon GGA". The record is from RNAcentral. Lineage: Eukaryota; Metazoa; Arthropoda; Arachnida; Ixodida; Ixodidae.
UCUCGGUUAGCCCAGUUGGUAGAGUGCUCCAUUGGAAAUGCAGAGGUCCCUGGUCCGAUACGAGGACCAGGCG